This 433-nucleotide ribosomal RNA is filed under the name uncultured bacterium. RNAcentral describes it as "partial 16S ribosomal RNA". It matches the Rfam family "Bacterial small subunit ribosomal RNA", at positions 29 to 507 of the family's 1533-position model. The record is from RNAcentral.
AACGAACGCUGGCGGCAGGCCUAACACAUGCAAGUCGAGCGGACCCUUCGGGGUUAGCGGCGGACGGGUGAGUAACGCGUGGGAAUAUGCCCUUCUCUACGGAAUAGUCCUGGGAAACUGGGGGUAAUACCGUAUACGCCCUUUGGGGGAAAGAUUUAUCGGGGAAGGAUUAGCCCGCGUUGGAUUAGGUAGUUGGUGGGGUAAUGGUCUACCAAGCCGACGAUCCAUAGCUGGUUUGAGAGGAUGAUCAGCCACACUGGGACUGAGACACGGCCCAGACUCCUACGGGAGGCAGCAGUGGGGAAUCUUAGACAAUGGGGGCAACCCUGAUCGAGCCAUGCCGCGUGAGUGAUGAAGGCCUUAGGGUUGUAAAGCUCUUUCAGCUGGGAAGAUAAUGACGGUACCAGCAGAAGAAGCCCCGGCUAACUCCGUG